CGCGCCGUUGGUGCCUCCCGAGGAAUUAUUGCCCAGUGAGGAAGCGACCGCUUAGUUCCGACCCCGGCGGUCCGGCUUGGGGGCCUCAGAGGGUGUGCUCUGAAGGGGCGUAGGUGCUGCUGCUGCCAGGGCUGCUUUUCCCGAACACGCUGCAAGCACGUGAAGGUAGUUGGAGUCCCCUAACAAUGGAUAAAUUCGUCAUUCGAACGCCUAGAAUCCAGAAUACACCUCAGAAGAAACAUCCCACAGAAAAGAUUUACAAGCAGGCCACGAUCGAAUCUCUGAAGAGUGAAUUCCUACUCAUUUGUCAACCCACUCAAGAACCACUACCUGUGAAUCCUGGAUUAUAGAUUCCAUGAAGACAGAGACCUUGAUUAUUUUAUUUACCUCUGUGUCCUUGGACCUAGCACAGUGCCAGGCACAUAUUAAGUU
This is a long non-coding RNA of Galeopterus variegatus (Sunda flying lemur), 432 nucleotides long. RefSeq lists it as uncharacterized. NCBI's taxonomy places the organism in Eukaryota, Metazoa, Chordata, Mammalia, Dermoptera, Cynocephalidae. The transcript has 3 exons. The record is from RefSeq and is a predicted model, not a curated record.